Molecule: ribosomal RNA, 490 nt
Filed under: uncultured bacterium
Lineage: Bacteria
Description: bacterial SSU rRNA
Rfam family: Bacterial small subunit ribosomal RNA
Source: RNAcentral
GGCUCAGGAUGAACGCUAGCGGCAGGCUUAAUACAUGCAAGUCGAGGGCAGCAUGGUGUAGCAAUACACUGAUGGCGACCGGCAAACGGGUGCGGAACACGUACAGAACCUUCCUUCGAGCGGGGAAUAGCCCAGAGAAAUUUGGAUUAAUACCCCAUAGUAUAGCGGAGAGGCAUCUCUCUGUUAUUAAAGAUUUAUCACUUGAAGAUGGCUGUGCGGCUGAUUAGGUAGUUGGCGGGUAACGGCCACCAAGCCUGCGAUCAGUAACUGGUGUGAGAGCACGACCAGUCACACGGGCACUGAGACACGGGCCCGACUCCUACGGGAGGCAGCAGUAAGGAAUAUUGGUCAAUGGACGAAAGUCUGAACCAGCCAUGCCGCGUGGAGGAUGAAGGUCCUCUGGAUUGUAAACUUCUUUUAUAUGGGACGAAAAAAGGUCUUUCUAGAUCGUCUGACGGUACCAUAUGAAUAAGCACCGGCUAACUCCGUG